UCUGGGUAGUGCUAAAAUAGGACCCACACCCAAGAUGCUAGCUCGGUAAAUUUUGCUCCAGCGUGUAGCAAUUCGUGUGGGACCCACGGUAGCAGGUAAGACAAUAAACAAAAUCUGUUUUCUCUCCGCACCGUCCCCCGUGCUUAUCUUCUUCCUCUGCCCCUUCGUUCCUGUUCUCCCUACGGUCUCCAGAACAUGAUCCACUUACUUGGGUGGUGGGAGCCCCAUCUAUGCCUCAAGCCGAGCUUCUCCAUGGCACAAGAUGGAACUCAUCCACCGUACCAGGCUGAGAUCCUCCAUGGCGUGACGAAGAGCGUCCCUGCUGGUCGUCCUGCUACCGAGGAAGCGCAAGACGAUGGCCCCCAUCCACCACCGACUUGACCUUGGAUGGUCUGCUUCCAUGGCUCUACAAGCAGCGUCCAGGCCGAGAUGCAGCAGCGCCAGCAAAUACGGAGACACAAAAUAUUUUUUAAUCUAGGAACCGGGUGCAAAGUUGGGCACCACGGAGACAAAAUAUAUAUUUUUUAAUUUAGGAACUAGGUGCAAAGUUGGGCACUAGGUGCUGGGACAGCACCCAUACAAGAUUAUCUCUAGUGUAUUGCAAUCUCUCCA
Molecule: long non-coding RNA, 612 nt
Organism: Panicum hallii
Lineage: Eukaryota; Viridiplantae; Streptophyta; Magnoliopsida; Poales; Poaceae
Exons: 2
Source: RefSeq, a predicted model, not a curated record